CAAUAUUCAACCUCAAGAACACCAAGGAAAACUUGGAGGCUAAGUCUUGGUCUAGGAAGUAUUUUCCCUAAGUUGGUUAGGGUUUUUUUGAAAGGUUUUGGAGGAGCCAAAGCUAAUAGGAAGGUCCAAACCUUAAGCAAGAACACCAAAGAGUAUUGGCUAAGCGUAACUGGACUGAACGUUGGAGGGUGAAAACUUGCUGAGCGCUAAGGACUCCAAGUAAG
Humulus lupulus (European hop) is the source of this 224-nucleotide long non-coding RNA. RefSeq lists it as uncharacterized. NCBI's taxonomy places the organism in Eukaryota, Viridiplantae, Streptophyta, Magnoliopsida, Rosales, Cannabaceae. The transcript is spliced from 3 exons. The record is from RefSeq and is a predicted model, not a curated record.